Molecule: long non-coding RNA, 281 nt
Organism: Myotis brandtii (Brandt's bat)
Lineage: Eukaryota; Metazoa; Chordata; Mammalia; Chiroptera; Vespertilionidae
Exons: 3
Source: RefSeq, a predicted model, not a curated record
AGUUUGCCGACCACUGCUCUAGUUCAUGCCGUGCCCCCACCCUCAUUUUAUCAUCGCUACCCACUGCACUUAGAACCUAACCUGGUAACAACACAUGGACAACUAAAUGGAAUUUCAACUCCAACCAUUAUUAAUAUUUGUGAAUUCAGAGCAGAGAACCAGGGAAGCCAUCCCUGGAGGAAGACUGUGACAAAUCACAAGUAUGAUACAGUGUAUGAUCACAAGUAUUAUCACUACUAGUUCUGCUCUUUCAGCCUGGCCUCUGAGAAGAAAACAGGGAG